AUUGAACGCUGGCGGCAGGCCUAACACAUGCAAGUCGAACGGUAACAGGAAGCAGCUUGCUGCUUCGCUGACGAGUGGCGGACGGGUGAGUAAUGUCUGGGAAGCUGCCUGAUGGAGGGGGAUAACUACUGGAAACGGUAGCUAAUACCGCAUAAUGUCGCAAGACCAAAGAGGGGGACCUUCGGGCCUCUUGCCAUCGGAUGUGCCCAGAUGGGAUUAGCUUGUUGGUGGGGUAACGGCUCACCAAGGCGACGAUCCCUAGCUGGUCUGAGAGGAUGACCAGCCAAACUGGGAAUUGGAAACGGGCCCAACCCCUCAGGGGGGGAAGAGGGGGGGAUAUUGCAAAAGGGGGGGAAAGCUGAAGGAAACAAGGCCGGGGGAAUGAAAAGGGCUUUCGGGUUUAAAAGUCUUUCAGGGGGGGGGGAGGGAGGAAAAGUAAAAACUUUUGCCAUUGAAGGUUCCCCCCAAAAGAAGCACCGGCAAACCCCGU
RNAcentral lists this ribosomal RNA (490 nucleotides) under uncultured bacterium. RNAcentral describes it as "partial 16S ribosomal RNA". It matches the Rfam family "Bacterial small subunit ribosomal RNA", at positions 29 to 506 of the family's 1533-position model. The record is from RNAcentral.